UGUACAAUUGCUAGGUCAUUUGGUAAAGUAUAUUUAGUUUUGUAAGAAAUCGCCAAACUGUCUUCCGAAGUGACUGCUCUGCCUUGCAUUUCUACUAGCAAU
This 102-nucleotide microRNA precursor is filed under the name Marmota monax (woodchuck). Lineage: Eukaryota; Metazoa; Chordata; Mammalia; Rodentia; Sciuridae. The record is from RNAcentral.